UAUACGGAGGGUGCGAGCGUUAAUCGGAAUUACUGGGCGUAAAGCGUACGCAGGCGGUUUGUUAAGCGAGAUGUGAAAGCCCCGGGCUCAACCUUGGGAACGGGCAUCUGGACUGGUCGACUAGAAGUGCAGAGAGGAAUGGUAGAAUUUCAGGUGUAGCGGUGAAAUGCGUAGAGAUCGGGAGGAAUACCAGAUGGCGAAGGCGGCCUUCUGGACUGACACUGACAGCUGCAGGUGCGAAAGCGUGGGUAAGCAAACCAGGAUUAGAUAACCCUGGUAGUUCACGCCGUAAACGAUGUCAACUAGCAGUCUGCGUACCCUGAGCUCUGAGUUGCGCAGCUAACGCAAUAAGUUGACCGCCUGGGGAGUACGGCCGCAAGGUUAAAACUCAAAUGAAUUGACGGGGGCCCGCACAAGCGGUGGAGCAUGUGGUUUAAUUCGAUGCAACGCGAAGAACCUUACCUACCCUUGACAUCCAGAGGACUUUCCAGAGAUGGAUUGGUGCCUUCGGGAACUCUGAGACAGGUGCUGCAUGGCUGUCGUCAGCUCGUGUUGUGAAAUGUUGGGUUAAGUCCCGUAACGAGCGCAACCCCUAUCCUUAUUUGCCAGCGAGUAAUGUCGGGAACUCUAAGGAGACUGCCGGUGACAAACCGGAGGAAGGUGGGGACGACGUCAAGUCAUCAUGGCCCUUACGGGUAGGGCUACACACGUGCUACAAUGGCAAGUACAAAGGGUUGCAAUCUUGCGAAGUGGAGCCAAUCCCAUAAAGCUUGCCUCAGUCCGGAUUGGAGUCUGCAACUCGACUCCAUGAAGUCGGAAUCGCUAGUAAUCGCGGAUCAGAAUGCCACGGUGAAUACGUUCCCGGGCCUUGUACACACCGCCCGUCACACCAUGGGAGUGGAGCUGCUACCAGAAGUAGGAUUAGCUCUAACCUUCGGGAGGACGAUCACCACGGAUGUGGGUCAUGACUGGGUG
RNAcentral lists this ribosomal RNA (975 nucleotides) under Halomonas sp. CL1205. Its description in RNAcentral is "bacterial SSU rRNA". It matches the Rfam family "Bacterial small subunit ribosomal RNA", at positions 522 to 1482 of the family's 1533-position model. Lineage: Bacteria; Pseudomonadati; Pseudomonadota; Gammaproteobacteria; Oceanospirillales; Halomonadaceae. The record is from RNAcentral.